RNAcentral lists this ribosomal RNA (600 nucleotides) under uncultured bacterium. Its description in RNAcentral is "bacterial SSU rRNA". It matches the Rfam family "Bacterial small subunit ribosomal RNA", at positions 97 to 720 of the family's 1533-position model. The record is from RNAcentral.
GGCGUACGGGUGCGGAACACGUGUGCAACUGCUUUAUCUGGGGGAUAGCCUUUCGAAAGGAAGAUUAAUACCCCAUAAUAUGCUGAAUGGCAUCAUUCGACAUUGAAAACUCCGGUGGAUAGAGAUGGGCACGCGCAAGAUUAGAUAGUUGGUGAGGUAACGGUCACCAAGUCUACGAUCUUUAGGGGGCCUGAGAGGGUGAUCCCCCAACUGGUACUGAGGCACGGACCAGACUCCUACGGGAGGCAGCAGUGAGGAAUAUUGGACAAUGGGUGAGAGCCUGAUCCAGCCAUCCCGCGUGAAGGACGACUGCCCUAUGGGUUGUAAACUUCUUUUGUAUAGGGAUAAACCUACCCUCGUGAGGGUAGCUGAAGGUACUAUACGAAUAAGCACCGGNUAACUCCGUGCCAGCAGCCGCGGUAAUACCGGAGGGUGCAGCGUUAUCCGGGAUUAUGGGGUUUAAAGGGGGUCCCGAAGGCGGAAUCCUUGGUAAAGGUCCACGGUUGGGUUGAACAUUCUUCAACNAGGNUUAACUNUGGGCAAAACUUGGGCCACAUUGGAAUAACUGGCCAAGGGUCCUUGGANUCGCUAGGCACGAAA